This 134-nucleotide small nucleolar RNA is filed under the name Dasypus novemcinctus (nine-banded armadillo). Its description in RNAcentral is "Small nucleolar RNA SNORA72 (ENSDNOG00000038408.1)". It matches the Rfam family "Small nucleolar RNA SNORA72". Rfam says of the family: U72 is a member of the H/ACA class of snoRNAs. The snoRNA gene is located in intron 4 of the ribosomal L30 protein gene in human, mouse and chicken. The record is from RNAcentral. Lineage: Eukaryota; Metazoa; Chordata; Mammalia; Cingulata; Dasypodidae.
CUGCGAACGUUCUCGCCGUCCUGAUGUUGUGAUCGUCAGGGUAGGCACAACAUUCGCUAUGUUAGAAACCAUGCAUGUGUCCCCAGACCUAGUUUUCCUCCUUAGGGCUGGUUUUUAGAAUGCUGGUGAUAAAC